AACGAACGCUGGCGGCAUGCCUAACACAUGCAAGUCGAACGAGACCUUCGGGUCUAGUGGCGCACGGGUGCGUAACGCGUGGGAACCUGCCCUUAGGUUCGGAAUAACUCCCCGAAAGGGGUGCUAAUACCGGAUAAUGUCUUCGGACCAAAGAUUUAUCGCCUUUGGAUGGGCCCGCGUUGGAUUAGCUAGUUGGUAGGGUAAAAGCCUACCAAGGCGACGAUCCAUAGCUGGUCGGAGAGGAUGAUCAGCCACACUGGGACUGAGACACGGCCCAGACUCGUACGGGAGGCAGCAGUGGGGAAUAUUGGACAAUGGGCGAAAGCCUGAUCCAGCAAUGCCGCGUGAGUGAUGAAGGCCUUAGGGUUGUAAAGCUCUUUUACCCGGGAUGAUAAUGACAGUACCGGGAGAAUAAGCUCCGGCUAACUCCGUG
RNAcentral lists this ribosomal RNA (433 nucleotides) under uncultured bacterium. RNAcentral describes it as "partial 16S ribosomal RNA". It matches the Rfam family "Bacterial small subunit ribosomal RNA", at positions 29 to 507 of the family's 1533-position model. The record is from RNAcentral.